GAUGAACGCUGGCGGCGUGCCUAAUACAUGCAAGUCGAGCGAACAGACGAGGAGCUUGCUCCUCUGACGUUAGCGGCGGACGGGUGAUUAACACGUGGAUAACCUACCUAUAAGACUUGGAUAACUUCUGGAAACCGGAGCUAAUACCGGAUAAUAUAUUGAACCGCAUGUUUCACUAGUUAAAGACGGUUUUGCUGUCACUUAUAUCUGGAUCCGCGCCGCAUUAGCUAGUUGGUAAGGUAACGGCUUACCAAGGCAACGAUGCGUAGCCGACCUGAGAGGGUGAUCGGCCACACUGGAACUGAGACACGGUCCAGACUCCUACGGGAGGCAGCAGUAGGGAAUCUUCCGCAAUGGGCGAAAGCCUGACGGAGCAACGCCGCGUGAAUGAUGAAGGUCUUCGGAUCGUAAAACUCUGUUAUUAGGGAAGAACAAAUGUGUAAGUAACUAUGCACGUCUUGACGGUACCUAAUCAGAAAGCCACGGCUAACUACGUG
This 497-nucleotide ribosomal RNA is filed under the name uncultured bacterium. RNAcentral's name for it is "partial 16S ribosomal RNA". It matches the Rfam family "Bacterial small subunit ribosomal RNA", at positions 28 to 507 of the family's 1533-position model. The record is from RNAcentral.